CAUGGUUGUCGUCAGCUCGUGUCGUGAGAUGUUGGGUUAAGUCCCGCAACGAGCGCAACCCCUAUUGUUAGUUGCCAUCAUUCAGUUGGGCACUCUAGCGAGACUGCCGGUAAUAAACCGGAGGAAGGUGGGGAUGACGUCAAAUCAUCAUGCCCCUUAUGACCUGGGCUACACACGUGCUACAAUGGUUGGUACAACGAGUUGCGAGUCGGUGACGGCGAGCUAAUCUCUUAAAGCCAAUCUCAGUUCGGAUUGUAGGCUGCAACUCGCCUACAUGAAGUCGGAAUCGCUAGUAAUCGCGGAUCAGCACGCCGCGGUGAAUACGUUCCCGGGUCUU
Molecule: ribosomal RNA, 337 nt
Filed under: uncultured Streptococcus sp.
Lineage: Bacteria; Bacillati; Bacillota; Bacilli; Lactobacillales; Streptococcaceae
Description: bacterial SSU rRNA
Rfam family: Bacterial small subunit ribosomal RNA
Source: RNAcentral